GAUGAAGAACGUAGUGAAAUGCGAUAAGUAAUGUGAAUUGCAGAAUUCAGUGAAUCAUCGAGUCUUUGAACGCACAUUGCGCCCCCUGGUAUUCCGGGGGACAUGCCUGUCCGAGCGUCAUUGCUGCCCUCAAGCACGGCUUGUGUGUUGGGCCCCGUCCUCCGAUCCCGGGGGACGGGCCCGAAAGGCAGCGGCGGCACCGCGUCCGGUCCUCGAGCGUAUGGGGCUUUGUCACCCGCUCUGUAGGCCCGGCCGGCGCUUGCCGAUCAACCCAAAUUUUUAUCCAGGUUGACCUCGGAUCAGGUAGGGAUACCCGCUGAACUUAAGCAUAUCAAUAAGCGGAGGA
RNAcentral lists this unclassified non-coding RNA (346 nucleotides) under soil metagenome. RNAcentral's name for it is "partial contains 5.8S ribosomal RNA, internal transcribed spacer 2, and large subunit ribosomal RNA". The stretch from base 1 to 120 matches the Rfam family "5.8S ribosomal RNA", at positions 35 to 154 of the family's 154-position model. The record is from RNAcentral.